Molecule: non-coding RNA, 73 nt
Organism: Bos taurus (domestic cattle)
Lineage: Eukaryota; Metazoa; Chordata; Mammalia; Artiodactyla; Bovidae
Source: Rfam
UCCCUGGUGGCUUAGAGGUUAAAAGCGUCUGCCUGGAAUGCAGGAAACCUGGGUUCGAUCCCUGGGUGAGGAA